UUAACACAUGCAAGUCGAGCGGAAAGGCCCUUUCGGGGGUACUCGAGCGGCGAACGGGUGAGUAACACGUGAGUAAUCUGCCCUGCGCUCUGGGAUAGCCACCGGAAACGGUGAUUAAUACCGGAUAGGACCACUUCACGCAUGUGAUGGUGGUGGAAAGUUUUUUCGGCGCAGGAUGUGCUCGCGGCCUAUCAGCUUGUUGGUGAGGUAACGGCUCACCAAGGCUUUGACGGGUAACCGGCCUGAGAGGGUGACCGGUCACACUGGGACUGAGACACGGCCCAGACUCCUACGGGAGGCAGCAGUGGGGAAUAUUGGACAAUGGGCGGAAGCCUGAUCCAGCAACGCCGCGUGAGGGAUGACGGCCUUCGGGUUGUAAACCUCUUUCAGUACCGACGAAGCGAAAGUGACGGUAGGUACAGAAGAAGGACCGGCCAACUACGAGCCAGCAGCCGCGGUAAUACGUAGGGUCCGAGCGUUGUCCGGAAUUAUUGGGCGUAAAGGGCUCGUAGGCGGUUUGUCGCGUCGGGAGUGAAAACACCGGGCUUAACUCGGUGCUUGCUUUCGAUACGGGCAGACUAGAGGUAUGCAGGGGAGAAUGGAAUUCCUGGUGUAGCGGUGAAAUGCGCAGAUAUCAGGAGGAACACCGGUGGCGAAGGCGGUUCUCUGGGCAUUACCUGACGCUGAGGAGCGAAAGUGUGGGGAGCGAACAGG
Molecule: ribosomal RNA, 714 nt
Filed under: uncultured Actinomycetes bacterium
Lineage: Bacteria; Bacillati; Actinomycetota; Actinomycetes
Description: bacterial SSU rRNA
Rfam family: Bacterial small subunit ribosomal RNA
Source: RNAcentral